UAGUCCACACCGUAAACGAUGUUCACUAGCCGCUGGGACCUUGGUUGUCUCGGUAGCGUAGCUAACGCGUUAAGUGAACCGCCUGGGGAGUACGGCCGCAAGGUUAAAACUCAAAGGAAUUGACGGGGACCCGCACAAGCGGUGGAGCAUGUGGUUUAAUUCGAAGCAACGCGCAGAACCUUACCAACCCUUGACAUCCUGAUCGCGGUUUUCCGAGAGGAAUUCCUUCAGUUCGGCUGGAUCAGUGACAGGUGCUGCGUGGCUGUCGUCAGCUCGUGUCGUGAGAUGUUCGGUUAAGUCCGGCAACGAGCGCAACCCACGUCUUUAGUUGCCAGCAGUUCGGCUGGGCACUCUAAAGAAACUGCCGGUGAUAAGCCGGAGGAAGGUGUGGAUGACGUCAAGUCCUCAAGGCCCUUACGGGUUGGGCUACACACGUGCUACAAUGGCAGUGACAAUGGGUUAAUCCCCAAAAGCUGUCUCAGUUCGGAUUGGGGUCUGCAACUCGACCCCAUGAAGUCGGAAUCGCU
This 527-nucleotide ribosomal RNA is filed under the name uncultured bacterium. Its description in RNAcentral is "bacterial SSU rRNA". It matches the Rfam family "Bacterial small subunit ribosomal RNA", at positions 791 to 1336 of the family's 1533-position model. The record is from RNAcentral.